UUGAACAUACGAAUUCAUUCUACUAUUCUUCAAUGGUACAUUAUCUAUCUGUCUAUGAUAUCUGCUGUUUUCAUAUCUAUUAUCUAUGACAUGUGUCUAUUUUAUCUGUGGUGUCUAUGCUAUAGACAAGAGGUAUAUAAGUUAUUAUAUAUCUGUAAUCUAUGGGUUUAUGCAAAUGCUAUGGUUCACACUGACAGUUCGUCGCCAUAUAAUCUUGCAGUUUUACUUAAAAUUAGUUUUAAUUGGUUUUAGAUUGUUCUAUAUAUCUACAUAAAAGUGUAUUGAAGUUUAUUUCGCUGUUACAAACUAAUCACAAAUGAAUGGUAUGCAAUGAAUGAUGAUUCCCUCAUAUUCCUGAGUCUCGUUGACUUGUCCUAUUCUUGUGGACUUAAUUAUUAUUAAGGUAUGACCUAAUUAAAAUGUUUUGUCAGUGAACAAGUUUUUCCUUUGAUGCUCAACAUUACUGUCUUGUAUUCAGCUUUCACCUUCUGUACUCUUUAUAAGACUAUAACAAUAUAUUAGUAUGUGAUAUUAUAUUGUUGUGGUAGUCCCCUUUCACUCCAGAACAUACCACCACUUCAAUCAACCAUGAAAGUGCCUACAAUGAGGAUAUAACUUAUCACUUCAUGAAACCUUCAAAUGGCUUGAAAGUGUUUCUAUCCAUGGGAAAGUGGUAGUUGUACCACAAAUUUCUCGUGGGUUAUUGUCUUGAAUCAAAUUGAAGAAUAAUAAAUGAAUAUGAAGACAGUGGAUCAAAAAGGCUUGAAGUAUGGAAAAGCAGUCCCACUCGUAAAUUAUUCUCUUGGGAUUGGAAAAGGCCCAUUUGUGGAAACAGUUGUUGCAAAGAAACAAAAAAUUAGGAUUGGAAACUUGGACUCUCCACAAUCUCCUCUUGUACUUGAGAGGUGCAAUUUCCGUGAUGUUCUGUCUCUUGCUUGUUGGCUCAUUUCAACCAUCAGUGUAUUUCUCCGUUGGCAACGUUUAGUAAUAAAACUGGAGCACCGUACUGUCUACAAUAAUCCUGGAGAUUAUCCAACAAAUGAAAGAGACUAAGGUUCAACUUGGUCAUACUGAAACAGCCAAGGUCUACAGUGGUGUCUUUUGUGAACUACAUAUUCUUGAUUUGCUGUUUUCGUCUUCACCUUGCAACAUCAUGAAGUUAAUUUUCAACUGAUAAAUAAGAACAACAGGAGAUUUACUGAAACAACAUUUUGUGCUGUGGUAUUCCUUCUGGAUUUGGUCUGCAUGUAACAUCUGCAAACUUUGAAAAGUUACAGUCUACAAUUAAUUAAGAUCGACGUUGGAGAAGACAAAGAUGACCCCGCAGUUGAAA
Long non-coding RNA from Agrilus planipennis (emerald ash borer), 1333 nucleotides. RefSeq lists it as uncharacterized. Lineage: Eukaryota; Metazoa; Arthropoda; Insecta; Coleoptera; Buprestidae. The transcript is spliced from 6 exons. The record is from RefSeq and is a predicted model, not a curated record.